Molecule: ribosomal RNA, 260 nt
Filed under: Acinetobacter baumannii
Lineage: Bacteria; Pseudomonadati; Pseudomonadota; Gammaproteobacteria; Moraxellales; Moraxellaceae
Description: partial 23S ribosomal RNA
Rfam family: Bacterial large subunit ribosomal RNA
Source: RNAcentral
GAUGUUUGAUGUUCUAACGUGGGCCCCUAAUCGGGGUUGCGGACAGUGUCUGGUGGGUAGUUUGACUGGGGCGGUCUCCUCCCAAAGCGUAACGGAGGAGCACGAAGGUUAGCUAAUCCUGGUCGGACAUCAGGAGGUUAGUGCAAUGGCAUAAGCUAGCUUGACUGCGAGCGUGACGGCGCGAGCAGGUGCGAAAGCAGGUCAUAGUGAUCCGGUGGUUCUGAAUGUAAGGGCCAUCGUUCAACGGAUAAAAGGUACUC